CAGACCAACAAACCCACUGAAUUUAAGCAUAUAAGUAAGUGGAGGAUAAUAAACUAAAUAGGAUUCCCUCAGUAAUGGCGAAUGAACAGGGAUGAGCUCAGUGUGAAAAUCAAGGCCUCUGGCCUUGAAUUGUAGUCUGAAGAUGUAUUACCAACAGUGGCACAGGUGCAAGCCUUUUGGAAAAAAGCAUCAUUGUGGGUGAGAGUCCCAUUGGUCAUCUGUAGUCCCCUGUGCACGGUGUACUUCUCGAGAGUCACAUUCCUUGGGAUUGGAAUGCAAAUUGGGUGGUAAAUUUCAUCUAAAGCUAAAUAUUGGUUCAAGACCGAUAGCGAACAAGUACCAUGAGGGAAAGUUGAAAAGGACUUUGAAAAGAGAGUUAAAAGUACCUGAAAUUGCUGAAGGGGAAGCGAAUGGGGCCAGUGUAGUUUGGUGAGAUUGCUGUGUGCUCAUGUGAAGUCUUGCUGUCAAAGCGUAAGCGUGUCAGUGGGAUGUGAGCAGCCAGCACGCAGUGCAUCUUACCUUAUGUGUCAUCUUCCAUGUACAUGUGGGGAUACUUCUAAGAACAUGGUAGCGUGCCCUCGGGUGUGUGAAUGUUUUUGGCUGCCCUCAGUUGUACAUGGCUUGAUGACUAAAUGGUUCUUUUCGACCCGUCUUGAAACACGGACCAAGGAGUCUAACAUGUGUGCGAGUUCAUGGGUGGUUAAACCUGCUUGUGUAAUGAAAGUGACUGCUGGAAUAUUUGCACCAGCAACUGACCAAUCGCUUGAGAGGUUUGAGUUAGCACACCUGUUAGGACCCGAAAGAUGGUGAACUAUGCCUGUGCAGGGCAAACUCAGGGGAAACUCUGAUGGAGGCUCGUAGCGAUACUGACGUGCAAAUCGUUCGUCAUACAUGGGUAUAGGGGCGAAAGACUAAUCGAACCAUCUAGUAGCUGGUUCCCUCUGAAGUUUCCCUCAGGAUAGCUGGAGUUUAACAGUUUUAUCAGGUAAAGCGAAUGACUAGAGGAAUCGGGGACAUGUUGUCCUCGACCUAUUCUCAAACUUUAAAUAGGUAAGAACCAGUGGUUGCUUAGGUGAACUUCUGGGAUAAAUGUGAACUCUAAGUGGGCCAUUUUUGGUAAGCAGAACUGGCGAUGAGGGAUGAACCUAAUGUUGGGUUAAAGUGCUUAACUGCCUGCUCAUCAGAUACCAUAAAGGGUGUUGGUUCAUUUUAACAGCAGGACGGUGGUCAUGGAAGUCGAAAUCCGCUAAGGAGUGUGUAACAACUCACCUGCUGAAUAAAU
RNAcentral lists this ribosomal RNA (1282 nucleotides) under Blastodinium contortum. RNAcentral describes it as "LSU rRNA". It matches the Rfam family "Eukaryotic large subunit ribosomal RNA", at positions 12 to 1306 of the family's 3401-position model. Lineage: Eukaryota; Dinophyceae; Blastodiniales. The record is from RNAcentral.